UCUGAACCCAUGGAUUCAGUAAAAGAACUUGACAGUGAGAUGCAGAUAUGUUUCUCCAUCGACUUUGAGACUUUGUUUUUUUAGAAAGUGCAGACUUUUACGAUGUAUGUAACAAUUUGCUGGCUCCUCUUUUUUAUUUUUUUUUCAGGAUUUGGUUCGUGAUGGAUGUUCCAUCUGGGGUUUGAGACUUGAAUGCAAGAAAGUGAUAAGUUGGACAGGUGGUACGAUUUUCAACGUUUCAAGAAAACAUUGGCAUUUGAAAAGAAUAAAAAAAAUGAUGUACUUCAUGGAUAGAUUUGUCAUCAGCAUACCUGUAAAAAAGGUGCGUUUUUUUUCGUAGCUAGAUGCAAAAUAUAUUUCAUCAUGUCCUAGCUUCUUUCUUGACAGUAUUAGCAGUUCAACAAUAACAGCAACUAUAAAGUUGCAAUUAAUCAGAUGAACUCACUUUAACCCUGCCAGUUUUACCAAGGGAGCAUGAUCAUUGAUCAGAUUCUUCAGUCCUGUACUGGGGUAAAAGACUGCAAACUCCAUUUCAUUUCAAAUUGGAUAAGAUGACAAGGGGAUGAUAAAAAUGGUCUAAACUACAACCAAGACAUUCACGAAAGAUAUUUGAAGUUUUUUAUGGAGCUGAUAUAACCAAAUGGACUGCAUUACACACAAGACUGUGACAUCAGAAGUCCAAGACUCAGUUCAGGUGGUUGACAUAAUAACCUAGGAGAUGAACCAAAGUCACACCAAAGAUGCAUAAUUCAUAAAAAAAAAAAAGGAGAAGAUGCAUAGUUCAGAAAGAAAAAGAGAAGAUAUAUCAUCCUUGAUAAUUCAUAUCCUGCAAGUUCUUUCAACUGAUGAACAGCUAGCUGGGCAAUGAUUCUCCACUGAUCGUGCAUACUUCAAGGAGCAGUGGUAGCAUUAGCCAUGGAUACAUCAAGGAGCAGAGCCCCUGAGGAGAUCCUGGUGAAUUCAGUGCAUAGCUGGAACUUCUUGUGCAGUAAUGACUUAUUCUGAGAUCUUCCCGACAAUGGAAAGAACUCCGUUGACAUGGCAACAAGCUAAAGACAAGCAAGAAUUUGCAUCAUGGACUGUUAAAUUUGAAUCCACUAAGGAGGUAAUCAACUGACAAUUCACCUGGUAAGUAAGCUAGCAGCCUCCUUGCAUCACUCACCUUCAGCAAAAUUCCCUCCCACCAACCAUCAUACAACCAUCCGUCAAUGACAGUGCCAACACCGAUCGUAGAGGGGUUCUCCCUCUCCGACAUAUUGUGGGGACGAAUUCUUGUUCUUCCAGAGAGGCGUAUGCACAGAGGGUCAGGAUUAGCGGUUCUUGUCACAAGCAACCAUUCCUGCAGGAGAACAACCAGUUCGUGUCAGCCUUCUCAACUCAAAGUGAGCUUCAUGGACAUGAGCGGGAGCUUGCCAUCUGGUUACUAUAAAAGAAAGAAUUUUAUUUUACUAUAUAACUCUAAGUUACUACUUUAGUUCUACCAUAUUAUCAACAGUAGAAGUUACUAUUGUAUCUCUAACGAUAGUGCUCUACUAUCAAUAUUAUCAACCGUACAAGUCAUCUGAGCUGUUAAUUUAUGACUUCUACUAUCAGUAGAGGAAAAUAUUCUACUAUAGUAGUAUAAAUCGAUAUGGUCCAAUUAAUAAGAAAGAACAAAAGGUGUAGAUUCAUUCUACUACCCAUAGAGGCCACCGUAAAAUUUGUCAAGAACGAACUGCAUUUUCAGAAGUGGUACUGAAAUUAGGCGACAUACCUCUAGGUUUGCUCUUGGUGUUUCAGGAUCUUGGAGGUGUUGGUACCUCACCUUGAUGCGAUCUCCGCGCCUCCUGAUCACUGAACCAAUGAACCAACAUCCCCUAAUGCCACUUUCCUGGCUCAGGCAUUCAACAAGGCAACCAGGAGAGAAGUACUACUCGAGAUACUGCUCCAGGGCAGAGUUCAUCAGAGCAGAUGCAGGCUCUGUUGGUGCAGCAUUGCGUGCAGUGACAUUGAUUGUUGCGGCCUGAACAUGGUCUCAUCACCUGCAGUGGGGUUCUCCACAGUUUGAUGAUGAUGAUGACCUCUAUCUGAUGAUCUUGUGUGUUCUUGUUGCCUUCGGAUGCGUCGGGUUGCAUGUUCACGGGAGGUGUUCCUAAGAUUGUUCUAAAUAUCUCCUGUUCUGAAUACCCUUGCAACUGUGCAAUGUCAAAGGUCUUGACAUUGCUAUCAUCGUCGAUAUGCCGAAUGCAUAGGUAGGGCUGCCAGUCGAUGUUGUUGGCAAUUGCUUGAAACUUCUCAAAGUGUUAUUUGUUCAGGACUCAAGCCAAUCCGUCUAUGCAUUCAACUCUGAUGUCUUGCAAAUUGUCGGAGAGGAGGAUCUCUCUAUCAUUAACACCUGGAGAAAGCUGAAUACCAGAGGAGUUGAGUGUGUGAAACCAUCGUAUCUGAACCAUGUUGUUUGCAUGGUUAUCCUUGUAGAGUUCUUCCACAUAAGCAACAAGUUUGUUGCCAUGUUGGACCAAGAUGUAAACAAAAUCGUGA
Molecule: non-coding RNA, 2520 nt
Organism: Oryza sativa Japonica Group (Japanese rice)
Lineage: Eukaryota; Viridiplantae; Streptophyta; Magnoliopsida; Poales; Poaceae
Source: RefSeq, a predicted model, not a curated record